GUCCCUAUAGUAUAUUGGUAGUACGCAACCCUCUCAAGGUUGUAGGGCGGGAUCGUUACCCGCUAGGGAUAC
This 72-nucleotide transfer RNA is filed under the name Arthrobacter phage Atuin. Its description in RNAcentral is "tRNA-Glu". It matches the Rfam family "tRNA". Rfam says of the family: Transfer RNA (tRNA) molecules are approximately 80 nucleotides in length. The record is from RNAcentral. Lineage: Duplodnaviria; Heunggongvirae; Uroviricota; Caudoviricetes.